CUUUAUUUAAUAUAAAAAUUAUAUUUAUUUUCCAAAUAAAAAAUCUAAAUAAAUUAGAAUAAAGA
Molecule: transfer RNA, 65 nt
Filed under: Obama sp. MAP-2014
Lineage: Eukaryota; Metazoa; Platyhelminthes; Tricladida; Geoplanidae
Description: tRNA-Gly
Source: RNAcentral